GCCAGGCACCUAUAGUCUCAGCUACUCAGGGGGCUGAGGUAGGACGAUCGCAUGCGCCCAGGAGUUCUGGGCUGUGGUGUGCUAUGCCAAUCGGGUGUCCGUGCUAAGUUUAGUAUCAAUAGGGUGACCUUCUGGGAGCAGGGACCACCAGGUUUCCUAAGAAGGAUUGACAUGGCCUGGGGCCAAAUGGAGCCGAUCAAAACUCCUAUGCUGAUCAGUAGCAGGAUAUGCCUGUGAAUAGCCACUGCACUCCAGCCUGGACAAUGUAGCACGACCCCGUGUCUU
This 285-nucleotide signal recognition particle RNA is filed under the name Chlorocebus sabaeus (green monkey). Its description in RNAcentral is "Metazoan signal recognition particle RNA". It matches the Rfam family "Metazoan signal recognition particle RNA". From Rfam's summary of the family: The signal recognition particle (SRP) is a universally conserved ribonucleoprotein. It is involved in the co-translational targeting of proteins to membranes. The eukaryotic SRP consists of a 300-nucleotide 7S RNA and six proteins: SRPs 72, 68, 54, 19, 14, and 9. The record is from Rfam by way of RNAcentral. Lineage: Eukaryota; Metazoa; Chordata; Mammalia; Primates; Cercopithecidae.